RNAcentral lists this long non-coding RNA (3959 nucleotides) under Sus scrofa (pig). Its description in RNAcentral is "lncRNA (ENSSSCG00000057279.1)". Lineage: Eukaryota; Metazoa; Chordata; Mammalia; Artiodactyla; Suidae. The record is from RNAcentral.
AUUCAACUUCCAUCUUUAGACAUUUUCCUGUUUAGUUACUAAAUACAAACUGAUAUGAGACCAGGAGUGACAGAAAUGUAAAUAGAAUAAAGCACUGGCUCAAAGCACUUCCACUGCAACAAGUGUUGCCACAUUCCCUUCUCAUUAUGUUUUCCAGUUAUUAAUCACAAGUGCACAAUUUUGGGAUGGUUACAUAAAAACAUAUAAACAAUUAAUAUCUUGCCUUUCUGGUUAAGGAUAGAAUGAUCAUAUUUUAACCUAAUGUCUGCCAUAUAGUCCUGAAAAUAUUCUUCUAUCUGAGGAUGUGCUACAAAAGUUUUAAAUAUUUUUAGAGGUUGUUUAAUGUUUACAUGGAUUUGCCAAAAUUUGCUUGGAGUUUGCCUAAGUUAUAGGCAAUAUUUUGUAUCAUAAUGUGGCAAUAAACUUGUUUAUGCCUAAAUUUUGUCUUUUGAAUUAAUUCCUUAUGAUUCAUUCCUAGGAGAGAAUAGGUCAAAAUACAUAAAUAUUUUAAUAGCUAUUGAUAAAUAUUUUUAUAUUGACUCUAUAAACCAUGCAUGUUUAAGUAUCCCUCUCCCAUAUGGUGUCCAAAUUAUUUAUGGCUAGGGACUAUACAUUUUUAUCUUUCUUUUCCAUUAUGAUUUAUUACAGGAUAUUGACUAUAGUUCCCUAUGCUGUAGAAAGUAGGACCUUGUUCUUUGGAAACGUGCUUUUCUAUUCAUGACUCCAAGACAUAGCACAUUAUUGGGCAUCUAAGAGAAGCCUCAUAUUAUUUGUCAAACUAUUUAACAAAUAAUAUUUGUAAAGUAUUCGUGGCUGAUUGAUACCAGCCACCAUCUAUUCCCUUCUACGUAAGGAUCGUAAUUUGGAUUUUAGCUGGUAUGUCAUGAAUCUACCUUGAAGAUAACCUCUCUUCCAAGCAAGCUAUGUGAACCCAAUGCUAGAUGGGAAAUUAAAUCUAGGCUAAUGGGCAUUAUACAAGUUUUCCACAGAAGCUGCUUAAAGGAUGAUAAUCAAGCUGGCAGAUUAACUUUUUGUCCUUUCCAUAGUCAUCUUUCCUGAUACCUGGAAUGUAGAGGUAAUAGCUAGAGCUCCAGCAGCCAUUUUAGAAAAGGAGUUAACAUUGAGGAUGGAAUCCAAGUACUAGGCUAAUUAAAUAAGAAAUAGAAAGAGCCUAGAUCUCUAAUAACCAAAAAAUAAUCCCCAAUAACCUAAUAAUCUUUCCUUGCACCCCUGUCUUAGGACUUAUUUUAUAUAACAGAAAUAAACAUCUACCCUACUUCAGCCCACUUUAUCUCAAGAAUUGGUUUCUAAACAACUGAACUAAAUAGCUAAUACUAAAAUAAUAUUAAGUGAGCUAAAUGACUGAUAAAAAUAAUGUCAAUGAAAAUGAGUAUAUGGUUUGACCUCCACCUUGACUAUAAAUAUAUUUAAUUUUAGAAUUUAUUCAUUUUAUAAAUUAGAAAUACCAACUCAGAUUUUUAAAUUUACAUUGAUUUUAUUAUUAGGGAUGUUUAUUUUACUAAGUGUGUUUAAUAUUUUUGUGAAUUAGCUAUCUGCCCCUUGACAUAUUUUUAUUCGAAUCAGAACGUUGUCAUCAGUUUUUGUGAACUCUUCAUAUGGUAUACAGAAUACAGUAAAAAGCAAACCAUGCCACAUGUCUAUAUUUGUCUAUAUUUGAGCUAUUUAUUGCUUUUAUAACAUUUUACAUUGGCAUAUAACAUAUUACUAAUUUUUCUUUGCAACUCUUCAGAGAAGAUAAUUUUAUGUUCCUACAGAGAAUCUCAAAUAUUCACGUGUUUAUACUCAUUUCCCUCAACUUCAUUUUGAAAUCCAAAUCUACCUAAAGCUUAAUUUUAAGAACUGUAUCUCAUAAUCUGUUUUACCCUCAAUUUUAAAGUGUCUUUUUAUAUUAAACAUAACAAAUCACAGGAAUUUGAAUCCUGGUUCUAAUGGAUGCAUUUCUUAGCCUCAUACAUUUAAAUUUCCUCAUCCGUAAACAGAUUCAAAAUAUAAAGAUUUAACAUCAUGUCCAGCCUAUACUUUUUAACUCAAUAGAGCCCUUUCUCUAUAUACUAAGCCUUAUAGAGCCUUCAUAAAAGAUAAAUUGAAGACAAUGACAUUAGCUUAAGGUUCAUUUAAUUUUAAGUACUGAAAUUCAAAUACUAAAAUUUCAAAUAAGCCUGUGUUUUAAGACUUACAUCUAUAAUUUCAAAUCAAAUUAUGUGUUGCUUGUUUUUACAGAGGAAAGUGGGUGUCAUUAUAGUCAGAGCAGUACAAGAAGUAAAUAAAUAGCUGAAUAGUUACAUUCGUCUUACUAGAUAGGUUUUUCUAUUGUUCACCAAAAUAUCUGGAGGUGAUUAAUGCCUAUUCCUGGGAAACAGAUAAAGUUUUCUGGACUCUGGGUUUAGUGGAAACAUUUAAGUGGAGAAAGCUUCUGAGAGGUAAAACAUUCAUUUUUCCUCGCAUUUAGUUCCCAAAUGGAGACAAAUAGCUUAAAAGCAAUAUUAACCUCAAUGUGCUUAGGCUAUUUAUCUUCAUAAGAAACAGUCUGAAAACAAGAAAACAAAGCCCAUAAAAAUGAUUUUAUUUAAUCACACAAGUAUAUCUCACCAAAAAUCUUUAGUUAUUUCCUUAGGGCUUAAUUCCAACCUCAGUAACUCAUGCACAAAUUCUAUGGAUGUCAAUGGAAGCCGUGCGUGUGGAACUCUGGGCCACAUUUGGUUGUCAUGGAUGAAUUAGCCAAAGAAGGCAUGAGAUCAAUUUUUUAAAACAUAAAGUGCUCUCAUUCUGUAAUCCUUUUCCAUCCUUCCAAAUUUAUUGACCUAAUCCAGUAAUAAUUAUUGAAUCUCCAUAAUAUACGUCAAACCACACUUUCAUGCAUGCGUCGCAGAGUCAGUGGCCUUAGAACAUUUACCUUUCCAUAUAAAUGUUAAUAAUCUUGCAGUAAUGUUUCAUCAUAGCAAAAAGAGAGUAUUGUGACAUGCUUUGCGACAAGGUCAAUUUCACUUAAGGAAAAAUGCUAACAUUUUAAAAGUCAGCCAUUAAAUUGGGGUUGUCAUUGCAUUUUUGUUAUCUUAUUACAGGAGAGUAAUCUGAUUUCUCUAGGGCCACAGUUAUUGAGGUGGGAUUAAAAAUAUUUAUUAAAAGUCAGGACAUAUAAUUGAAAAAAUUUAUAUCACUUUUUCUAAGUUUCAGAGAAACUGUGUUUAAGAAAAUCUUCCUUUAAAAAUGUUUAUCCAGAUAUUUUGGUAUGCAUAUUUUUCCUGGGAAGGUAAAAUGUCUUUGAAUUUCAUGCAACUUGUUAGAAUAAUACUGCCUCCCUCAGGGUUUAACCCCAGCUCUCUCCUUAGUGAGUAAAUUUAAUGUUACAUGUCUUAUGUACCUUGAGCUACACAUCAUGAUUGGUCUUAUAACAAGUAUCUGUACAUUGAGCAUCUAAAGGGAGAUUGCAGUGACUCACCAACAUUGCCUGAAGUCAUUUACUAUCCUUUUCUCAAGUUCAGUACAAGAGCCAUCCAGAGACAUUUCGAUGGAUUCAAUUACAUUCAAAUCAUAGUGUGCCAUAAGAAUCUUUUGCAGAUGAAUAUUCUUGGGCCUGACCUAGUUCUGUGUCUGAUGUGAACUGUGCAUUUUUAAUAAGCCUUCCAAAUAGCCCUGAUGCUACUGAUCUACAGUCUAUGCUUUGGCUAAACAGUGGCAUCAAGAAAGUGGAAGCUAAGUCAGCAGUAAAGCGUGUGGUGAGGAUUAUGGGGGCAGGAAGGCUAUGUGAACAUCAUCCUUUGCAUCAUUUGAAUAUGCAGGAGAAGCUUAGUGGCAAGGGGGCACCACACCUGGCUCACAUAUAGGACUCAAUCAUGGGGAAUUAAAUCAGAUGCUAUUUUUUAUUGACUCUGCUAUAUCUACUAUUGCUGCUCUCACACUAUCUGUUAUGAUUCAUAUAAUACUAUUAUCCAUGAUUG